UAUUUGGGACUGGAGGGAGGGCUCCAAGACUGCUCCAUGCCAUUCAAACUUGUGGAGAAAUUUCAAGACAACGUCCUCCUGCAUCAGCAUCGUUCAAUGUGAUUAUUGAGAACUGGAGUUGCAGUAUUACACUUGUGUAAUAUGAGCCCAGCACUUGCUUCAUAGAAAUGGAUUUUAAAUGUCACCCGUCAUAUCGAAACCUUUGAAGCAGUUGUGGGCGCGUGGGACCUCCUCUGGCUUUGGUGAAGAUUUUAAUGGCGACUCUAAGGGAAGCAGUUAACUUUUCAAAACCAAAACUACAAGUGUGUAAAGAGGACAAGUGCAGUAAUUAUUGUUCUGUCAAUGUAUUUGUAACUCAAACUUCAAACCAAAAUUGUGGAUACUGUUGGUAGUUAGAUGUAAAUGGUAAAAAAUGUUUUAAGGGAAAGUUUGAUGAAUCUUAAUUUAAGCCAUGGGUAGGGCUAUCAUAUAUUUAGGGGUCAAAUGUAAUCAUUAAUGGUUUGUCAGGCAAAGAUAGGUAAAAUUGUCUCUCAAAUUUUACUGUAAGUAAUUAGAAUUGUAAAUUUGACUUUGAUUGUGUUAGACUGUGAUUGAAAAUGUUUUGUCUUUAAUCAAUUGUGUUACUUCAAAUAUUUCAUUUGUUUCUUAUCUGAUUUUCAUAGCAAGGGGAUUAAAGAGAUAGACGUAAUUCCUACCUGUUCAGCUGCCAAACAGGCUUCAGGUGCAUCACAGCCUGCUUUGUAGCCUUUCUAGCUAAUAUUCUUGGAAAUAGAGUUGCGAAUGGGAACAGGUUUUAAGCAAAGAGGGAGAGAGAAACUAAUCAACCAAGCCCACUAAAUAUUUUAUGUUACGAUUUUGAUUUCAUACAUGGCAACCUCUUUUGAAUUAACUUGAUUAUAUUCAUGAAAAACAAUUAACCUAUUUGUACAAGAUUUAAAUUUAAUUAAUCUAGUGGACUUGAUUCAUUGCUUUAACACCUCUGUUGUUCAAAACACCUUCCACCCAAGAAAAUGUGGCCUUAUAUAUGUUCCAAGAUUAGUAGCUGGGACGCUCCAAGGCAUUGAAG
Molecule: long non-coding RNA, 1066 nt
Organism: Frankliniella occidentalis (western flower thrips)
Lineage: Eukaryota; Metazoa; Arthropoda; Insecta; Thysanoptera; Thripidae
Exons: 3
Source: RefSeq, a predicted model, not a curated record